RNAcentral lists this small nucleolar RNA (104 nucleotides) under Nicotiana sylvestris (wood tobacco). RNAcentral describes it as "Plant small nucleolar RNA R71". It matches the Rfam family "Plant small nucleolar RNA R71". Rfam says of the family: R71 is a member of the C/D box family of snoRNAs containing the C (UGAUGA) and D (CUGA) box motifs. Multiple nearly identical copies of this snoRNA have been identified in Arabidopsis, and it is thought to function as a 2'-O-ribose methylation guide for 18S ribosomal RNA. The record is from Rfam by way of RNAcentral. Lineage: Eukaryota; Viridiplantae; Streptophyta; Magnoliopsida; Solanales; Solanaceae.
AUUGUGAUGAGGACAAUCUCUAAGUAGCCCUUGAACCUCUCCCAAGCUGAGUAUAAAGACUCCCCAGCUUUCUGUUUUAAGGCGAAUAUCUCACUUAUAAUCUU